Molecule: ribosomal RNA, 478 nt
Filed under: uncultured bacterium
Lineage: Bacteria
Description: partial 16S ribosomal RNA
Rfam family: Bacterial small subunit ribosomal RNA
Source: RNAcentral
GAUGAACGCUGGCGGCGUGCUUAACACAUGCAAGUCGAACGGGAAACCUUUUAUUGAAGCUUCGGCAGAUUUAGCUGGUUUCUAGUGGCGGACGGGUGAGUAACGCGUGGGUAACCUGCCCUAUACAGGGGGAUAACAACCAGAAAUGGUUGCUAAUACCGCAUAAGCGCACAGGGCCGCAUGGUCCGGUGUAAAAAACUCCGGUGGUAUAGGAUGGACCCGCGUUGGAUUAGCCAGUUGGCAGGGUAACGGCCUACCAAAGCGACGAUCCAUAGCCGGCCUGAGAGGGUGAACGGCCACAUUGGGACUGAGACACGGCCCAGACUCCUACGGGAGGCAGCAGUGGGGAAUAUUGCACAAUGGGGGAAACCCUGAUGCAGCGACGCCGCGUGAAGGAAGAAGUAUCUCGGUAUGUAAACUUCUAUCAGCAGGGAAGAUAGUGACGGUACCUGACUAAGAAGCCCCGGCUAACUACGUG